This 557-nucleotide ribosomal RNA is filed under the name uncultured bacterium. RNAcentral's name for it is "bacterial SSU rRNA". It matches the Rfam family "Bacterial small subunit ribosomal RNA", at positions 342 to 912 of the family's 1533-position model. The record is from RNAcentral.
CGGGAGGCAGCAGCAGGGAAUAUUGUGCAAUGAACGAAAGUUUGACACAGCGACACCGCGUGUGGGAUGACGGAUCUAGGUUUGUAAACCACUUUCAGGAGGGAAGAAAAUGACGGUACCUCCAUAAGAAGCCCCGGCCAACUACGUGCCAGCAGCCGCGGUAAUACGUAGGGGGCGAGCGUUGUCCGGAUUUAUUGGGCGUAAAGAGCUCGUAGGCGGUUCAACAAGUCGGUCGUGAAAGUUCAGGGCUCAACCCUGAAAUGUCGAUCGAUACUGUUGUGACUAGGAUACGGUAGAGGUGAGUGGAAUUCCGAGUGUAGCGGUGAAAUGCGUAGAUAUUCGGAGGAACACCAAUUGCGAAGGCAGCUCACUGGGCCGCUAUCGACGCUGAGGAGCGAAAGCUAGGGGAGCAAACAGGAUUAGAUACCCUGGUAGUCCUAGCUGUAAACGAUGGAUACUAGACGUAGGAACUGGAUUGACGGUUUCUGUGUCGCAGCUAACGCGUUAAGUAUCCCGCCUGGGGAGUACGGUCGCAAGACUAAAACUCAAAGGAAUUG